This 420-nucleotide ribosomal RNA is filed under the name uncultured bacterium. RNAcentral's name for it is "bacterial SSU rRNA". It matches the Rfam family "Bacterial small subunit ribosomal RNA", at positions 28 to 441 of the family's 1533-position model. The record is from RNAcentral.
GAUGAACGCUAGCGGCAGGCUUAACACAUGCAAGUCGAGGGGCAGCAUAAACAUUGCUUGCAAUGUUUGAUGGCGACCGGCGCACGGGUGCGUAACGCGUAUGCAACCUACCUGUAACAGGGGGAUAACACUGAGAAAUUGGUACUAAUACCCCGUAACAUCAAAGAGGGCAUCCUUUUUGGUUGAAAGUUCCGGCGGUUACAGAUGGGCAUGCGUUGUAUUAGCUAGUAGGUGAGGUAACGGCUCACCUAGGCGACGAUACAUAGGGGUUCUGAGAGGAAGGUCCCCCACACUGGAACUGAGACACGGUCCAGACUCCUACGGGAGCAGCAGUGAGGAAUAUUGGUCAAUGGUCGAGAGACUGAACCAGCCAUGCCGCGUGAAGGUCACGGCCCUAUGGGUCUUAAACUUCUUUUGUAA